CAUUGGCUUAGCACAGAGAGGAGCUCUGUUCGGGAGCUCCUCUCUUCUUCACAAAAAAUGGAUUUUUGAUCGCCCGACUGUCGCGGGCUGCUUUGGUUUCAUGGCGUUCUCCCUGUCCUGCUGCAAAUUUCCAAGAGCAGAGAAAUGCCUAAUCUCCUCAGGAACAAAGAGACGAGUGCAUCAAACGAGCUAAAAGCCAAUAAUCUCAGCAGGGAAGUCAGAUAAGGCUCCACGAAUG
Hemicordylus capensis (graceful crag lizard) is the source of this 238-nucleotide long non-coding RNA. RefSeq lists it as uncharacterized. Lineage: Eukaryota; Metazoa; Chordata; Lepidosauria; Squamata; Cordylidae. The transcript is spliced from 3 exons. The record is from RefSeq and is a predicted model, not a curated record.